AAAAUAACAACGUUACUAAUAAGUAAAAUAACUUACAAGUUCCACGCUACAUUCCUUCACCGUGACGUCAUAAAACAUGAACGUUUCUACUGGCUUUUAACUGUCUUUUCAACUUCCGGAAAAGACACUCUACUGAUUUCGGUAAUAUUCUUGCUGUCCCUAACAAUGGUGUUUUUUGAAGAAGUUCUAUUCUUAUAUGAAUUCUCAAUCCAAUUAUAUACAGUUUAUUACUAACUGCUCCUAAGGCACCUACUACUAUUGGAAUCAAUUCUACUUUUUUCAUUGCCCAUAUUUUCCGAAUUUCCCUUUUCAACUCAUCAUACUUUUCUACCUUCUCUCUUUCUUUUAGACUAUGAUCUUAUACUUCUUUUCCUUCUAUAAAACCACUACAAUAUCAGGUGUUCGACAUUCAAUCACAUUUAUUUAACUUUGCCAAGUAACAUGCAACAUUUAACAGUACUGAUUUACAACAACAUAUAAUAUGUGUUCCAUUGGCAGGGUACACGCAACAGUUUUCACCAAUUACAGCGGCCCCAUUAACUAUACUAAUACUACACAACGAACACAAAUCUAAUAACAACACGAUAUUUGACAGGACAGAUUACGAGACUUGUUACAAGACAAACAUAUAGAUUUCCAUGUCCUUGGAUCAUCAACGUCAAAAACGUCUUCCAGCGCUAACUUGUAAUAUUUAGAAAGUCCGUUUUUGAAUUGUCCUAAACUAAUGUUAUUGCUUGUCAAACUUUUUGGUACUACAUUCCAUAAUCUCUUUGUUCGGUUCAGAAAUGACCUUUGAUAGGUAGUGGUCUUGCAUUGUGCCGUUGUAAUUGACAGAUGAUUGGGAUUAGACGACCUGGUUUCUCUUCUGUUGUUAUUGGGUGACGACUGUAUUAAAUUAUUGUCAAUGGUCAUGAUCCAUGCGUUAAUUUGUAGAAGGUUACCAUAUCUAGAAAUUCAUGCCAGUAGCACAAUGGAAGGAGGUCUAAAAGUAU
Non-coding RNA from Paramuricea clavata, 992 nucleotides. The record is from the annotation of a GenBank genome assembly. Lineage: Eukaryota; Metazoa; Cnidaria; Anthozoa; Malacalcyonacea; Plexauridae.